CAAGGAAUAGUUUAAUGAGAAUGUCAGCUUUGGGUGUUGACGGUGGAGUGAAGUUCUUCUUCCUUGA
RNAcentral lists this transfer RNA (67 nucleotides) under Tupaia belangeri yaoshanensis. RNAcentral's name for it is "tRNA-Pro". The record is from RNAcentral. Lineage: Eukaryota; Metazoa; Chordata; Mammalia; Scandentia; Tupaiidae.